GAUGAACGCUGGCGGCGUGCCUAAUACAUGCAAGUCGAGCGAACGGACGAGAAGCUUGCUUCUCUGAUGUUAGCGGCGGACGGGUGAGUAACACGUGGAUAACCUACCUAUAAGACUGGGAUAACUUCGGGAAACCGGAGCUAAUACCGGAUAAUAUUUUGAACCGCAUGGUUCAAAAGUGAAAGACGGUCUUGCUGUCACUUAUAGAUGGAUCCGCGCUGCAUUAGCUAGUUGGUAAGGUAACGGCUUGCCAAGGCAACGAUGCAUAGCCGACCUGAGAGGGUGAUCGGCCACACUGGAACUGAGACACGGUCCAGACUCCUACGGGAGGCAGCAGUAGGGAAUCUUCCGCAAUGGGCGAAAGCCUGACGGAGCAACGCCGCGUGAGUGAUGAAGGUCUUCGGAUCGUAAAACUCUGUUAUUAGGGAAGAACAUAUGUGUAAGUAACUGCGCACAUCUUGACGGUACCUAAUCAGAAAGCCACGGCUAACUACGUG
This 497-nucleotide ribosomal RNA is filed under the name uncultured bacterium. Its description in RNAcentral is "partial 16S ribosomal RNA". It matches the Rfam family "Bacterial small subunit ribosomal RNA", at positions 28 to 507 of the family's 1533-position model. The record is from RNAcentral.